Molecule: long non-coding RNA, 3201 nt
Organism: Brassica rapa (field mustard)
Lineage: Eukaryota; Viridiplantae; Streptophyta; Magnoliopsida; Brassicales; Brassicaceae
Source: RefSeq, a predicted model, not a curated record
AAAGUUAAAACAUAAAUUAUAUAAUUAAAUAUUAAUUAAAUAUUUUUAAUUAUAUAAUUAAAAAUAUAAUAUUAAGUUAUUUUAAGAUUUAUUUUAGUAUAAUGAAUAUAGUGUACAAAGAAUUUUUCAAAAAUUAUGAAAAUGUUUAAGCCCGCAUCGCGGGCAAAACACAUAGUUGUUAAUAUAUUAAAUGUUUUUUAUAUAAUUAUUAGGAAAUGUCUUUAAAAAUAUCUAACAUUCUCUUACUAUAAAAAAUGGAAAUCUAAUAAUGCAUGGUGGUAAUCAAUGAUUAAUAAUAGGUUUUGUGUAUCUAUCUAUCUAUCUAUCUAUAAUCUUCUAUAAUAAUAAAGGAGACUUUUCUCCCUUCUCAGGCCUCCAUGUCAUCAUUCACAUAAGGGCGUUUUAUGCCAUGUGGCUUACCCAAAUACAAGCCAAUCCUGCGUUUUAUGCCGAAAUUUUCAGAAACUAGAUCGACUUUCAUCUCCUUGUAAUGUAACUGAGAUGCUUAACUCAACCGAGCUUUUGCGUGAUUAUUCAACCGACCUCUUCUUCGCAUCCCACACAGUACGUGAACUUAACUGACUAUUUUUUCAUCGUCAAACCUUAGGUGUUUCGUUUCUCCUCCUCCUAGAUUCGUCUGAGAAACAAACAUACCCAGUUAUGUCAUUCAAUUCACCACGCCCAGUACUUAAACUUCAAUUCCUAGCAGAUUAAGUGAAUUAGUAUAUAUACAGUGGUGAUGAAGAAGGCGUCUGCGGCUCGCUUGCAAUCCCGGUAGAUUAAAAAUCCCCUCCAUUACAGAAAGAAGGAUGAUGAAUUCUAGAGCUGCAGAAUCACUGUUCUUUUUACGCUCAGAGACGGUGACACCAAUGGCCGCCACAAUCAGGAACCUCUAGCAAGAGGUUAAGAGCUCCCAUGGUAGCUUUUCCUCUAGCCUCAAACCGGCGCAAAUGGACCGCGCCGAUUGUAUCUUAAGUGGUUCUUUGAUAUGCAUAAACCAAAAGCAUUGGUACUGACCUCACAAGAGAAGACAUGAAGAACUGUUACCAUCAUCUCCAGAGGAUCCAAGACUCUGUUACCAUCAUCUCUAACCGUCUCAUAAUGCCUUCAAAACUAGAGUAAGCUCCAGGGAAGCCACCAAUGUGCUAAAAUGCUUCUUAAAAUAGUGAGGUACACUCUUGGAAACUUGCAAGCGUGUCUAGAUAUUAAAGUCCAUUGUUAUGUGAAUGAGGACACUGAUUUCUUUUUUCUUUUUCUAAUGGUCCAGGAACAUCAUUGAGCAACUAAAUGAAGGGAAAUACAAAGGGCUGCGUAAGGUAUGUGGAAUCAAUAGGUAUCUAAUGUAAUGUACUAACUUAUUUGAGUGAAUAUUUCAACCUUCUGCUAUGUUCGACUACAUGACUGCCAUUUCAGGGACCCUCCAAUUAAGCGCAAGAUACUCAACUUCGCAGGUUUUUUUCUUCUUCAUCGUCUGAUCACUUAGUGUGUAUGAUAUAUGUGCGUUAAACCGACUCUGGUGGGAUUGUUUGCAGCUGUGGUUGAGAUCCUUUCCGUGGUUAUCUUUGUGGAAGAAGAGAUGGUAUUGGAAGGAACAUGAGCAUUAGAACGUAAUCACCCAGGCCUCUGGUGGAUUGGCAAGCCUAUGACUGAAUCACACACCACAGAUUCUGUUUUAUAACUUUUUACAAACAAAAAUAAAAGUAAGAUUUGGGACUGAUUAUAUAUGAAGCGUGGCUCUGUAACCCUGUAUGUGGAAGCAUAACAUUUCCUCUAAUUGGAGUGUGGAAAAGGGGAGAGAUGAAAGCUUCACCGUUGAUUCUCAUCCUUUACAUGUGAAUCAUGCAAUAAGGACAACGCAGUUGGUGUUCUCAGGUAUACUCCGUCAACUAAAUUUUUAGCCUUCUUUAACUAACAUUUUAAUUUUUCGUUACAAUCUCACCACUACUAAGCAAUGUAAACGAUGUAUCUUAUGCAGGUACCGUGUACAGUUCUUAUAACUUAUGCAUGUACCGUGUACAGUUCUAUGUGUCUGAUAGGGACAGUACAGUUGGGUUUGUCGCAUUUGAUGGAGAAAUGACUAAAUAACCAACGCACGUUCAGCAGAAGUCGCUCAACUUAUGGUAAACCAGCAAGAACCUUAUACAAUUGUUGGAUUAAGUUUUUUUUUAAACACCACUACAGAAAACCUCACCUGAAUUUUCUAAAAGGUCCAUGUUUGGAGGAUCCCGAUCAAAGACCCCUACCACAAUGCUUAGAGGACUGGUUUGGAAGAAGAUAUGCGCGAGUAGUGGAAGCCAUGAUCUGCUUCAUCUUGGUGGAGUCAAAGCUGACAGUGCAGAACUUCAGGAGGACAUGCGCACCGUCAAGAAGGCCCGCAAUGGUAGCUUCACAUCAUAGGGAUUGUCCAAGCCCAACGAUUUAGCCAGAAUAGUAUCAAAAACAUUAAAACACUAGCUUAAUACAUUUUAUCAUCAACGAAAAGGAUAAAAAACAUGUCAGUCGGAUGACUACAUUAUGAAGUAACUCAUAUGUAAGCAGUAAUUAGUUCACUAAAAACAAAGGAAAAUGUUUCUUCAUAUUGAAAGUGGCCAGGCAUCAUUCGUUUCUCUGAUAAAGUAAUGGUAUUUUUGAUACUUUAAAUUAAAUACUGUAAAUUUUAGUAAUUGUUGUUUUUAGUUGUCUCUCUUUUUACACAUUAUACUUAAAGUUUUGUUUUUAUUUGGACUUAUUCUUGGGAACCUUUUAUUUGUACUAGCAUUCUUCAUAAAUAAUACUACAAUCUAUACUAAUAUCAAAAUAUUUUGCGAACCAAUACAUGUUGGUUUUACAAUGGAAAUAAUAAUUCAAAACCAUAAAGAAUUAGUCACGAGAAAAACAACAUUAUAUAAAAAGUAUACAUUAAACUAGGGUUUAGCAAAAUAUUCAAAUCCGAAAAACCAAAUCAAAUCCUACUUUAAAGCAUACCAAACUCGAACAAAAGAUGAUAAAAUAUUCAAUGAUUUAAAAAAUUUAAUCCGAAAAACUGGAACUGAACCAUACAUGAACGAAAAUAUUGGAUACCCAAAAAAAACGAACUAUAGUUAUAUAUUUGAAUAUACUAAUUAAUUUAAUAUAUAAUAUCUAAAAUAUCUAAAAUAUAUUCUAAAUUGUUUAAAAUACCUGAAAAUAUCUAAAAAUAUCUAAAAAUAUCCAAAAUAAAUA